This 253-nucleotide ribosomal RNA is filed under the name uncultured bacterium. RNAcentral's name for it is "partial 16S ribosomal RNA". It matches the Rfam family "Bacterial small subunit ribosomal RNA", at positions 524 to 776 of the family's 1533-position model. The record is from RNAcentral.
UACGGAGGGGGCUAGCGUUGUUCGGAAUCAUUGGGCGUAAAGCGCGUGCAGGCGGUUAGUUAAGUCAGAUGUGAAAUCCCUGGGCUCAACCGAGGAAGUGCAUUUGAAACUAAUUAGCUAGAAGAUGGCAGAGGAAGGUGGAAUUCCAAGUGUAGAGGUGAAAUUCGUAGAUAUUUGGAGGAAUACCGGUGGCGAAGGCGGCCUUCUGGACCAUUCUUGACGCUGAGACGCGAAAGCGUGGGGAGCAAACAGG